GAUGAACGCUGGCGGCGUGCCUAAUACAUGCAAGUCGAGCGAACGGACGAGAAGCUUGCUUCUCUGAUGUUAGCGGCGGACGGGUGAGUAACACGUGGAUAACCUACCUAUAAGACUGGGAUAACUUCGGGAAACCGGAGCUAAUACCGGAUAAUAUUUUGAACCGCAUGGUUCAAAAGUGAAAGACGGUCUUGCUGUCACUUAUAGAUGGAUCCGCGCUGCAUUAGCUAGUUGGUAAGGUAACGGCUUACCAAGGCAACGAUGCAUAGCCGACCUGAGAGGGUGAUCGGCCACACUGGAACUGAGACACGGUCCAGACUCCUACGGGAGGCAGCAGUAGGGAAUCUUCCGCAAUGGGCGAAAGCCUGACGGAGCAACGCCGCGUGAGUGAUGAAGGUCUUCGGAUCGUAAAACUCUGUUAUUAGGGAAGAACAUAUGUGUAAGUAACUGUGCACAUCUUGACGGUACCUAAUCAGAAAGCCACGGCUAACUACGUGCCAGCAGCCGCGGUAAUACGUAGGUGGCAAGCGUUAUCCGGAAUUUAUUGGGCGUAAGCGCGCGUAGGCGGUUUUUUAGUCUGAUGUGAAAGCCCACGGCUCAACCGUGGAGGGUCAUUGGAAACUGGAAAACUUGAGUGCAGAAGAGGAAAGUGGAAUUCCAUGUGUAGCGGUGAAAUGCGCAGAGAUAUGGAGGAACACCAGUGGCGAAGGCGACUUUCUGGUCUGUAACUGACGCUGAUGUGCGAAAGCGUGGGGAUCAAACAGGAUUAGAUACCCUGGUAGUCCACGCCGUAAACGAUGAGUGCUAAGUGUUAGGGGGUUUCCGCCCCUUAGUGCUGCAGCUAACGCAUUAAGCACUCCGCCUGGGGAGUACGACCGCAAGGUUGAAACUCAAAGGAAUUGACGGGGACCCGCACAAGCGGUGGAGCAUGUGGUUUAAUUCGAAGCAACGCGAAGAACCUUACCAAAUCUUGACAUCCUUUGACAACUCUAGAGAUAGAGCUUUCCCCUUCGGGGGACAAAGUGACAGGUGGUGCAUGGUUGUCGUCAGCUCGUGUCGUGAGAUGUUGGGUUAAGUCCCGCAACGAGCGCAACCCUUAAGCUUAGUUGCCAUCAUUAAGUUGGGCACUCUAAGUUGACUGCCGGUGACAAACCGGAGGAAGGUGGGGAUGACGUCAAAUCAUCAUGCCCCUUAUGAUUUGGGCUACACACGUGCUACAAUGGACAAUACAAAGGGCAGCGAAACCGUGAGGUCAAGCAAAUCCCAUAAAGUUGUUCUCAGUUCGGAUUGUAGUCUGCAACUCGACUACAUGAAGCUGGAAUCGCUAGUAAUCGUAGAUCAGCAUGCUACGGUGAAUACGUUCCCGGGUCU
This 1371-nucleotide ribosomal RNA is filed under the name uncultured bacterium. Its description in RNAcentral is "bacterial SSU rRNA". It matches the Rfam family "Bacterial small subunit ribosomal RNA", at positions 28 to 1381 of the family's 1533-position model. The record is from RNAcentral.